UUGGAGGGCAAGUCUGGUGCCAGCAGCCGCGGUAAUUCCAGCUCCAAUAGCGUAUAUUAAAGUUGUUGCAGUUAAAAAGCUCGUAGUUGAAUUUUAGACCUGGCCAGGCGGUCCGUCUUUGGCGAGUACUGUCUUGUUGUCGGGUCUUCCUUCUGGUGAACCAGUAUGUCCUUUAUUGGGUGUGUUGGGGAGCCAGGACCAUUACCUUGAAAAAAUUAGGGUGUUUAAAGCGGGCUAUUGCUUGAAUAGAUUAGCAUGGAAUAAUAGAAUAGGACGUUGUGGUUCUAUUUUGUUGGUUUCUAGGACCACCGUAAUGAUUAAUAGGGAUAGUUGGGGGCAUUAGUAUUCAAUUGUCAGAGGUGAAAUUCUUGGAUUUAUUGAAGACUAACUAUUGCGAAAGCAUUUGCCAUGGAUGUUUUCAUUAAUCAAGAACGAAAGUUAGGGGAUCGAAGACGAUCAGAUACCGUCGUAGUCUUAACCAUAAACUAUGCCGACUAGGAAUCGGGCGUCGUUAUUUUAAUGACUCGUUCGGCGCCUUACGGGAAAC
RNAcentral lists this ribosomal RNA (547 nucleotides) under uncultured Ambispora. RNAcentral describes it as "SSU rRNA". It matches the Rfam family "Eukaryotic small subunit ribosomal RNA", at positions 548 to 1098 of the family's 1831-position model. Lineage: Eukaryota; Fungi; Glomeromycota; Glomeromycetes; Archaeosporales; Ambisporaceae. The record is from RNAcentral.